Molecule: RNA transcript, 1302 nt
Organism: Cornus florida
Lineage: Eukaryota; Viridiplantae; Streptophyta; Magnoliopsida; Cornales; Cornaceae
Gene name: cyclase-like protein 2
Exons: 7
Source: RefSeq, a predicted model, not a curated record
AAAAACAGUCCCCUUCGAAGUCUUAAUAAGUCACUGGACUCUUCUCUUCUCUUAUCUUCAUCUUUCAACGCUUUUGUUUUCCACAUCUAGCAAAAACUACACUAUGAAGUCUCUACCGAUUCUGCUAACAUGCGCGGUGAUGCUCACAGUCUUCACCCUCGCACUCCCUUCCACCGUCCUGGCAUAUCCCUCCCCCUACGGUGCCGCCUGUAAACCCACCGCCGCCGACGAUCUCGUUCCUGUAAGAAGAGAAGUGUACGGUAACGGAAGAAUUUUUGAUAUUAGCCAUAGGUACAGCCCCGACAUGCCUUCUUGGGGAUCCGAUGACGGUGUGGGCCAGUUUCUCUGGCUUCCGGCGAGUAUGAAGAACGGCUCGCUCGCUAACAAUUCCGAGAUGAAGCUUCCCACUCACACCGGCACGCACGUCGAUGCGCCUGGUCAUGUUUUCGACCACUACUUUGAUGCUGGCUUCGAUGUCGACACUCUUGACCUUGAAGUACUCAAUGGUCCUGCCUUGGUAGUCGACGUUCCAAGGGAUAUGAACAUAACUGCUGAAGUUAUGAAGUCGUUAAAUAUUCCCAAGGGAGUACGCCGUGUGCUAUUCAGAACAUUAAACACUGACAGGAGGCUUAUGUGGAAAAAAGAGUUCGACACAAGCUAUGUCGGAUUCAUGAAAGAUGGGGCACAAUGGCUGGUGGACUAUACUGACAUCAAACUUGUUGGAAUUGAUUACUUAUCUGUUGCUGCCUAUGCUGAUUUGAUUCCUUCUCAUCUUGUUUUUCUCGAAGGCAGGGAAAUCAUUCUCGUGGAAGGGUUGAAACUUGAAGACGUCCAAGCUGGAAUCUAUGACGUCCAUUGCUUACCUCUAAGGUUGCUUGGUGCUGAAGGCUCGCCUAUAAGAUGCAUCCUCAUCAAAUGAUACCUACCCUUGUAAGUAUAUUUACUAAAGUGAUCCAAUGGCCAAGUAGUCUCACAGCUCUUCCAGGAAGUAAUGACUGUCGCAGGAGGUACGAGUCCAAGAACUUGUUUGGCUUCGGUGUUGGAACUGCUCGUAACCAAUUAUAAGCUGUGGCUGUCUGAUGCAAGAGGGGUUCAGUGUAGAUAAAAUUUAUGAUCUAUUUAAUUAUUGUCUUAUUUUCUACUUGGCUAGGUUUUAUGAUCGGCAUACAAACUUACUGAUACUACUUUAUAGGGUUUAGAAAUUGUGAAUUUAUUUCUCAGAAAUAUAUAUCAUCAUAUUUCCUUGAUAUGAUAUCUGAACAAAUUUUCAAUGGAAAUUAUCGUUGGAGUAAUCUUAAUAAA